This 510-nucleotide ribosomal RNA is filed under the name uncultured bacterium. Its description in RNAcentral is "bacterial LSU rRNA". It matches the Rfam family "Bacterial large subunit ribosomal RNA", at positions 400 to 902 of the family's 2925-position model. The record is from RNAcentral.
UCUGGUACCUGAGUACCGCAGGACACGUGCAAUCCGGCGGGAAUCUGGAGGGACCACCCUCCAAGGCUAAAUACUCCUUACUGACCGAUAGUGAACAAGUACCGCGAGGGAAAGGCGAAAAGAACCCCGGCGAGGGGAGUGAAAUAGAACCUGAAAACCGUACGUCUACAAGCAGUGAAAGCACCGUGCCGCAAGGCCGUGCGAUCACGUACCUUUUGCAUAAUGGGGCCUGCGAGUUACCGUACGUGGCAAGGUUAAGCCGUCAGGUGGAGCCGGAGCGAAAGCGAGUCUUAACAGGGCGAAUAGUCGCGUGCGGUAGACCCGAAACCUUAGCGAUCUAUCCAUGACCAGGUUGAAGGGCGGGUAACACUGCCUGGAGGACCGAACACACCACAGUUGAAAAUGUGGGUGAUGAGUUGUGGAUAGGAGUGAAAGGCUAAUCAAGCUGGGAGAUAGCUGGUUCUCCUCGAAAUAUAUUGAGGUAUAGCCUCGGAUGAACUGCGCCGGAGG